Molecule: ribosomal RNA, 253 nt
Filed under: uncultured bacterium
Lineage: Bacteria
Description: partial 16S ribosomal RNA
Rfam family: Bacterial small subunit ribosomal RNA
Source: RNAcentral
UACGGAGGGUGCGAGCGUUAUCCGGAAUUACUGGGUUUAAAGGGUGCGUAGGUGGGUAGGAAAGUCAGUGGUGAAAUCUUCGGGCUUAACCCGGAAACUGCCAUUGAUACUAUUUAUCUUGAAUACUUUGGAGGUAAGCGGAAUAUGUCAUGUAGCGGUGAAAUGCUUAGAUAUGACAUAGAACACCUAUUGCGAAGGCAGCUGGCUAGACCUGUAUUGACGCUGAGGCACGAAAGCGUGGGGAGCGAACAGG